RNAcentral lists this ribosomal RNA (320 nucleotides) under uncultured eukaryote. RNAcentral describes it as "partial 18S ribosomal RNA". It matches the Rfam family "Eukaryotic small subunit ribosomal RNA", at positions 1470 to 1796 of the family's 1831-position model. The record is from RNAcentral.
CCCUUAGAUGUUCUGGGCUGCACGCGUGUUACAAUCGGGAGUACAACAAGAUUGCAAAUCCUAGUGGAUGAGUGGUUCUUCGAAAUUUUCUGAAGACUGGGAUAGUUGAUUGAAAUUAUUCAACUCAAACGAGGAAUUCCUUGUAAUUGUAAUUCAUUAUAUUGUAAUGAAUACGUCCCUGCCCUUUGUACACACCGCCCGUCGCUCCUACCGAUUGAACGAUCCGGUGAAUUAUUUGGAGUAGCUCUGGAAGUUGCAGAACUUCCUAUGUCACGAAAUUUUGUAAACCUUAUCGUUUAGAGGAAGGAAAGGUCGUAACA